UACGUAGGUGACAAGCGUUGUCCGGAUUUACUGGGCGUAAAGAGCGCGCAGGCGGUCGAUCAAGUCGAGUGUGAAAGCCCCCGGCUCAACUGGGGAGGGUCAUUCGAAACUGGUCGACUCGAAGGCAGGAGAGGGUAGUGGAAUUCCCGGUGUAGUGGUGAAAUGCGCAGAUAUCGGGAGGAACACCAGUGGCGAAGGCGACUACCUGGCCUGUUCUUGACGCUGAGGCGCGAAAGCUAGGGGAGCAAACGGG
Molecule: ribosomal RNA, 253 nt
Filed under: uncultured bacterium
Lineage: Bacteria
Description: partial 16S ribosomal RNA
Rfam family: Bacterial small subunit ribosomal RNA
Source: RNAcentral